RNAcentral lists this ribosomal RNA (414 nucleotides) under uncultured bacterium. RNAcentral describes it as "bacterial SSU rRNA". It matches the Rfam family "Bacterial small subunit ribosomal RNA", at positions 355 to 767 of the family's 1533-position model. The record is from RNAcentral.
UAAGGAAUAUUGGUCAAUGGACGCAAGUCUGAACCAGCCAUGCCGCGUGAAGGAUGAAGGUCCUCUGGAUUGUAAACUUCUUUUAUCUGGGACGAAAACGGGAUUUUUAUCUAAAUUGACGGUACCAGAGGAAUAAGCACCGGCUAACUCCGUGCCAGCAGCCGCGGUAAUACGGAGGGUUCGAGCGUUAUCCGGAUUUACUGGGUUUAAAGGGUGCGUAGGUGGGCUUAUAAGUCAGUGGUGAAAUCUCCGAGCUUAACUUGGAAACUGCCGUUGAUACUAUAGGUCAUGAAAUAUCUGGAGGUAAGCGGAAUAUGUCAUGUAGCGGUGAAAUGCUUAGAUAUGACAUAUAACACCAAUUGCGAAGGCAGCUUACUACAGAUAAAUUGACGCUGAGGCACGAAAGCGUGGGGA